Molecule: ribosomal RNA, 171 nt
Filed under: Acidobacteriota bacterium
Lineage: Bacteria; Pseudomonadati; Acidobacteriota
Description: partial 16S ribosomal RNA
Rfam family: Bacterial small subunit ribosomal RNA
Source: RNAcentral
UCAAACGAGAGUUUGAUCCUGGCUCAGAAUCAACGCUGGCGGCGUGCCUAACACAUGCAAGUCGAACGAGAAAGGGGAGCAAUCCCUGAGUAAAGUGGCGACCGGGUGAGUAACACGUGACUAACCUGCCCUUGAGUGGGGGAUAACCUCGGGAAACCGGGGCUAAUACCG